Dreissena polymorpha is the source of this 592-nucleotide long non-coding RNA. RefSeq lists it as uncharacterized. Lineage: Eukaryota; Metazoa; Mollusca; Bivalvia; Myida; Dreissenidae. The transcript is spliced from 2 exons. The record is from RefSeq and is a predicted model, not a curated record.
UCACACUUUUGUUACAGUUUCUCAUAGCACCUUCAAUACUUUACUGAUCUCUUUCAUAUUUGGCAUGUUGAUACCUUGCAUGGACCUCUACCUUUUGAUGACGUUUGAGGUCACUGGGGUCAAGGUCACCAAGGCUAAUAAUAGACUUUUGUUACAGUUUCUCAUAGCACCUUCACUACUUUACCGAUCUCUUUCAUAUUUGGCAUGUAGAUACCUUGCAUGGACCUCUACCUUUUGAUGACGUUUGAGGUCACUGGGGUCAAGGUCACCAAGGCUUAUAAUAGACUUUUGUUACAGUUUCUCAUAGCACCUUCAAUACUUUACCGAUCUCUUUCAUAUUUGGCAUGUAGAUACCUUGCAUGGACCUCUACCUUUUGAUGACAUUUGAGGUCACUGGGGUCAAGGUCACCAAGGCUAAUAAUAGAUUUUUCCGUCACACUUUUGUUACAGUUUCUCAUAGCACCUUCAAUACUUUACCGAUCUCUUUCAUAUUUGGCAUGUAGGUACCUUGCAUGGACCUCUACCUUUUGAUGACGUUUGAGGUCACUGGGGUCAAGGUCACCUAGGCUAAUAAUAGAUUUUUCCGUCACAC